UGAAUGCCUGUCUACUAGUCCCAUCACU
RNAcentral lists this small RNA (28 nucleotides) under Bombyx mori (domestic silkworm). RNAcentral's name for it is "ovarian small RNA-3569". Lineage: Eukaryota; Metazoa; Arthropoda; Insecta; Lepidoptera; Bombycidae. The record is from RNAcentral.